Molecule: non-coding RNA, 362 nt
Organism: Pelobates cultripes (western spadefoot toad)
Lineage: Eukaryota; Metazoa; Chordata; Amphibia; Anura; Pelobatidae
Source: the annotation of a GenBank genome assembly
CACACACCCUGACCUCACAGCAGCAAAAAACAUUGUGUGCAAGGUAUGUGGGUCAACAGAGGUGCAAGAUUUGCAGAAAUGUUUAUUGUACAUGUAACAUGCAUGAACAAAUACAAACAAUGGUUGGAAUUACAGCAUAAUGUCUCGGAUAUACUGUAUGUUAGACAGUUUACCAGAUCACUUGGGACAAUUAACCAUGGCUUUUAAUAAUCUCAACUGCUCACUGUUCGUGGUUUUAUGACUGAUGGGAGAUACAGUCAAACAGCAUUAAAGGAUCACUAUAGGCUCAGGAACCCAAACAUGUAUUCCUGACUCUAUAGUGUUAAAACCACCAUCUAGCCCCCGUGGGCCCCUCGUGCCUC